CACCCUCGUUCCCCUCAAUCCAAACAAGCCCUUUAUCUCCACUUUCUCUCAGAAACCGUCCUUCAAAAUUGCCCCCUUCUCUCAGAAUCCCCCACCUCUCACUCAGAAGGCCACGAUCGCGACCCGCUGCCGCCUCGAAAGCCGACAGCAGCCACCCAACUCUGCCCACCCACCGCUCGAAUCCAUCCCAUCCCCGCCACCGCUGGCCACCAUCACUGAUCCUCCCUCGAUUCAAAAGGUAAUUUCUCGCAGGAUCUAGGAAGCAAAUUUCGGCCCGUUCGAAGCCGUCGACAGCCACCCACCCGCCGUUCGAAUCCACCCCAUCCCCGCCGCCACCGUCACUGAUCCUCCCUCUAAUCGAAAGUUAAAAAAAGGUGAUAUUUUUGGAAUUCGAGUAGGACGGAGAAGAGAAUGUCAGAAUUAGGGUUAGCGUUUGAAGAAGAGAGGAUGAAGAAGAAGCAGCAACAACAUCAAUAGUACAAGCUCCAUUCUACAACUACGGCAAUGGUUUGCAUGAGGAGGAAGUGUUAUUACUCUAUGAUUCCCUUUUUCGAGGUUGUACAACUAGGUGGGAAAGAUAUGCUUGCAAUGCUUCAUAUUGGCUUGCAGAAGUGCAGGAAAAUUGAAUGAUUUUCGAAAAAGAAGGAAGUGAAGAAGGAGACAUGACUUGGCUUGACUUUCGAAAAGGAUGAGAACUUUGAUUUCUGUUGUUGUUUUAGGUGGUUGUUAAUGGGGACAUGAUUGAAUACUAUGACGUCUCUGGAUGCUAUAUUCUACGGCCUUGGACAAUGGCUAUUUAGGAGACCAUGCAAGUUAGUUGUUAAGUGUGGAGUUUGUUUUUUAUUUUAUUUUAACAACGAUCAUGUUUACUAUGAUUCUGGUCACCUUCUCUGCUUUGCUAAUGCAAUAGGUUAUUGACAAACAUUUA
Long non-coding RNA from Asparagus officinalis (garden asparagus), 928 nucleotides. RefSeq lists it as uncharacterized. The record is from RefSeq and is a predicted model, not a curated record. The transcript is spliced from 5 exons. NCBI's taxonomy places the organism in Eukaryota, Viridiplantae, Streptophyta, Magnoliopsida, Asparagales, Asparagaceae.